GAUGAACGCUGGCGGCGUGCCUAAUACAUGCAAGUCGAGCGAACAGACGAGGAGCUUGCUCCUUUGAUGUUAGCGGCGGACGGGUGAGUAACACGUAGGUAACCUACCUAUAAGACUGGGAUAACUUCGGGAAACCGGAGCUAAUACCGGAUAAUAUUUCGAACCGCAUGGUUCGAUAGUGAAAGAUGGCUUUGCUAUCACUUAUAGAUGGACCUGCGCCGUAUUAGCUAGUUGGUAAGGUAACGGCUUACCAAGGCAACGAUACGUAGCCGACCUGAGAGGGUAAUCGGCCACACUGGAACUGAGACACGGUCCAGACUCCUACGGGAGGCAGCAGUAGGGAAUCUUCAGCAGUGCGCGAAAGCCUGACGGAACAACGCCGCGUGAGUGAUGAAGGUCUUCGGAUCGUAAAACUCUGUUAUUAGGGAAGAACAAACGUGUAAGUAACUGUGCACGUCUUGACGGUACCUAAUCAGAAAGCCACGGCUAACUACGUG
This 497-nucleotide ribosomal RNA is filed under the name uncultured bacterium. RNAcentral describes it as "partial 16S ribosomal RNA". It matches the Rfam family "Bacterial small subunit ribosomal RNA", at positions 28 to 507 of the family's 1533-position model. The record is from RNAcentral.